GACGAACCGUGCGAACGUUAUUCGGAAUCACUGGGCUUAAAGCGCGUGUAGGCGGGAGGGCACGUCCGUCGCUGAAAUCCCCCGGCUCAACUGGGGAACUGCGCGGGAAACUGUGGGGCUAGAGUUCAGGAGAGGGAAGCGGAAUUCCGGGUGUAGCGGUGAAAUGCGUAGAUAUCCGGAGGAACACCGGUGGCGAAGGCGGCUUCCUGGACUGACACUGACGCUGAGGCGCGAAAGCUAGGGGAGCAAACGGG
RNAcentral lists this ribosomal RNA (254 nucleotides) under uncultured bacterium. Its description in RNAcentral is "partial 16S ribosomal RNA". It matches the Rfam family "Bacterial small subunit ribosomal RNA", at positions 524 to 776 of the family's 1533-position model. The record is from RNAcentral.